AUUGAACGCUGGCGGCAUGCUUUACACAUGCAAGUCGAACGGCAGCGCGGGCUUCGGCCUGGCGGCGAGUGGCGAACGGGUGAGUAAUUCAUCGGAACGUGCCCAGUAGUGGGGGAUAGCUCGGCGAAAGCCGGAUUAAUACCGCAUACGACCUGAGGGUGAAAGCGGGGGAUCUUCGGACCUCGCGCUAUUGGAGCGGCCGAUGGCAGAUUAGCUAGUUGGUGGGGUAAAGGCCUACCAAGGCGACGAUCUGUAGCUGGUCUGAGAGGACGACCAGCCACACUGGGACUGAGACACGGCCCAGACUCCUACGGGAGGCAGCAGUGGGGAAUUUUGGACAAUGGGCGAAAGCCUGAUCCAGCAAUGCCGCGUGUGUGAUGAAGGCCUUCGGGUUGUAAAGCACUUUUGGCGGGAACGAAAAGGACUGUGCCAAUACCACGAUUCGAUGACGGUACCCGCAGAAUAAGCACCGGCUAACUACGUG
This 484-nucleotide ribosomal RNA is filed under the name uncultured bacterium. RNAcentral describes it as "partial 16S ribosomal RNA". It matches the Rfam family "Bacterial small subunit ribosomal RNA", at positions 29 to 507 of the family's 1533-position model. The record is from RNAcentral.